This 255-nucleotide ribosomal RNA is filed under the name uncultured bacterium. RNAcentral's name for it is "partial small subunit ribosomal RNA". It matches the Rfam family "Bacterial small subunit ribosomal RNA", at positions 26 to 285 of the family's 1533-position model. The record is from RNAcentral.
AGGACGAACGCUGGCGGCGUGCUUAACACAUGCAAGUCGAGCGGAAAGGCCCUUCGGGGUACUCGAGCGGCGAACGGGUGAGUAACACGUGAGCAACCUGCCCUUAGCUCCGGGAUAGCUCCGGGAAACCGGAAUUAAAUACCGGAUAUGACCUAGGCCGACAUCGGCUGUGGUGGAAAGUUUUUCGGCUGGGGAUGGACUCGCGGCCUAUCAGCUUGUUGGUGGGGUAAUGGCCUACCAAGGCGACGACGGGUA